AGGACUAACGCUGGCGGCGUGCCUAACACAUGCAAGUCGAGCGGGGUAGCAAUACCCAACGGCAGACGGGUGAGUAACGCGUGGUCAACCUUCCGAUGAGUGGGGGAUAACUAGCCGAAAGGUUAGCUAAUACCGCAUACGAUCUUCAAGCGGCAUCGCGUGAAGAUGAAAGGAGCAAUUCGCUCAUCGACGGGACCGCGUCCCAUUAGCUAGAUGGUGGGGUAAUGGCCUACCAUGGCGACGAUGGGUAGCUGGUUUGAGAGAGCGACCAGCCACACUGGGACUGAGAAACGGCCCAGACUCCUACGGGAGGCAGCAGUGAGGAAUUUUCCGCAAUGGGCGCAAGCCUGACGGAGCGACGCCGCGUGUGGGAAGAAGGCCUUCGGGUCGUAAACCACUGUCGAAGGGGACGAUAAUGACGGUACCCUUGGAGGAAGCCCGGCUAACUACGCGCCAGCAGCCGC
RNAcentral lists this ribosomal RNA (464 nucleotides) under uncultured bacterium. RNAcentral's name for it is "SSU rRNA". It matches the Rfam family "Bacterial small subunit ribosomal RNA", at positions 26 to 518 of the family's 1533-position model. The record is from RNAcentral.